This 72-nucleotide transfer RNA is filed under the name Phrynosoma platyrhinos (Desert horned lizard). Its description in RNAcentral is "tRNA-OTHER". Lineage: Eukaryota; Metazoa; Chordata; Lepidosauria; Squamata; Phrynosomatidae. The record is from RNAcentral.
ACCAGUGUGGUGUAGUGGUUUGAGUGUUUGACUAUGACUCUGAAGAUGAGGGUUUGAUUCCCCUCUUGGCCA